AUGUCACUCGGCCAUUUCGGUGUCUCCUGGGGAGCUUCCCUUACGUCUAGGAGCCUGCCAUACCCCUGCUCACCCCCUGGCCGUUUGCACGGGACCCGAGCUGUUGUGACACCACCCUCCCCUGGGAGCACUCUUGGCCCAGUGAGGCCUGGCCCACCGGCAGACCUGCGGCUCUCUUCUCCUUGUUUUCCUUCACCUUAUUCUAGAAGUUACACAGUACCUGUUGCUCUGUAACUAGCCCGUUGCCACGUAACAGACGGUGGGGGGUGACGAGGUCUAGAAAUAACUCCCCUCCCUUCCAAACAGGCAGAAAUCGUGGUGUCAGUUUAUUGCCAGUGAAAGCGAGGCCAGGGGAUGUGGCUUUUGUAUCGGACCCACCCAGUUGUUGCGUGGGCCCGCGGAGGGACACGCUUCCCCAGGGUUGCUGCCUCCUUCUGGGAAGAGAAGGAGGAAAG
Molecule: long non-coding RNA, 455 nt
Filed under: Felis catus (domestic cat)
Lineage: Eukaryota; Metazoa; Chordata; Mammalia; Carnivora; Felidae
Description: lncRNA (ENSFCAG00000041035.2)
Source: RNAcentral